CCUACGGGUGGCAGCAAUGGGGAAUAUUGGACAAUGGGCGAAAGCCUGAUCCAGCCAUGCCGCGUGUGUGAAGAAGGCCUUCGGGUUGUAAAGCACUUUCAGUGGGGAAGAAAGCCUUGGGGCUAAUACCCUCGAGGAAGGACAUCACCCACAGAAGAAGCACCGGCUAACUCCGUGCCAGCAGCCGCGGUAAUACGGAGGGUGCGAGCGUUAAUCGGAAUUACUGGGCGUAAAGCGCGCGUAGGCGGUCUGAUAAGCCGGUUGUGAAAGCCCCGGGCUCAACCUGGGAACGGCAUCCGGAACUGUCAGGCUAGAGUGCAGGAGAGGAAGGUAGAAUUCCCGGUGUAGCGGUGAAAUGCGUAGAGAUCGGGAGGAAUACCAGUGGCGAAGGCGGCCUUCUGGACUGACACUGACGCUGAGGUGCGAAAGCGUGGGUAGCAAACAGGAUUAGAUACCCCUGUAGUC
This 465-nucleotide ribosomal RNA is filed under the name Vreelandella stevensii. RNAcentral describes it as "partial 16S ribosomal RNA". It matches the Rfam family "Bacterial small subunit ribosomal RNA", at positions 338 to 795 of the family's 1533-position model. The record is from RNAcentral. Lineage: Bacteria; Pseudomonadati; Pseudomonadota; Gammaproteobacteria; Oceanospirillales; Halomonadaceae.